ACAGUUUCCUAUGUUUCUCUAUCCUCUCAC
RNAcentral lists this non-coding RNA (30 nucleotides) under Mus musculus (house mouse). The record is from RNAcentral. Lineage: Eukaryota; Metazoa; Chordata; Mammalia; Rodentia; Muridae.